RNAcentral lists this ribosomal RNA (497 nucleotides) under uncultured bacterium. RNAcentral describes it as "partial 16S ribosomal RNA". It matches the Rfam family "Bacterial small subunit ribosomal RNA", at positions 28 to 507 of the family's 1533-position model. The record is from RNAcentral.
GAUGAACGCUGGCGGCGUGCCUAAUACAUGCAAGUCGAGCGAACGGACGAGAAGCUUGCUUCUCUGAUGUUAGCGGCGGACGGGUGAGUAACACGUGGAUAACCUACCUAUAAGACUGGGAUAACUUCGGGAAACCGUAGCUAAUACCGGAUAAUAUUUUGAACCGCAUGGUUCAAAAGUGAAAGACGGUCUUGCUGUCACUUAUAGAAGGAUCCGCGCUGCAUUAUCUAGUUGGUAAGGUAACGGCUUACCAAGGCAACGAUGCAUAGCCGACCUGAGAGGGUGAUCGGCCACACUGGAACUGAGACACGGUCCAGACUCCUACGGGAGGCAGCAGUAGGGAAUCUUCCGCAAUGGGCGAAAGCCUGACGGAGCAACGCCGCGUGAGUGAUGAAGGUCUUCGGAUCGUAAAACUCUGUUAUUAGGGAAGAACAUAUGUGUAAGUAACUGUGCACAUCUUGACGGUACCUAAUCAGAAAGCCACGGCUAACUACGUG